AUACGGAGGAUGCGAGCGUUAUCCGGAUUUAUUAGGUUUAAAGGGUGUGUAGGCGGUAUUUUAAGUCAGUGGUGAAAUCUCGGAGCUUAACUUCGAAACUGCCAUUGAUACUGGAAUACUUGAGUAUAGUUGAGGUAGGCGGAAUAUGUAAUGUAGCGGUGAAAUGCAUAGAUAUUACAUAGAACACCGAUUGCGAAGGCAGCUUACUAAACUAUUACUGAUGCUGAUGCACGAAAGCGUGGGGAGCGAACAGGAUUAGAAACCCUUGUAGUCC
Molecule: ribosomal RNA, 274 nt
Filed under: uncultured bacterium
Lineage: Bacteria
Description: partial 16S ribosomal RNA
Rfam family: Bacterial small subunit ribosomal RNA
Source: RNAcentral